This 377-nucleotide ribosomal RNA is filed under the name uncultured bacterium. RNAcentral's name for it is "bacterial SSU rRNA". It matches the Rfam family "Bacterial small subunit ribosomal RNA", at positions 524 to 898 of the family's 1533-position model. The record is from RNAcentral.
GACGAACCGUGCGAACGUUAUUCGGAAUCACUGGGCUUAAAGCGCGUGUAGGCGGAUGGGAACGUCGGUCGUUGAAAGCCCCCGGCUCAACCGGGGAAUUGGCACCGAAACGACCCGUCUGGAGGGGCAUAGGGGGAUCUGGAACUUCCGGUGGAGCGGUGAAAUGCGUUGAGAUCGGAAGGAACGCCCGUGGCGAAAGCGAGAUCCUGGAUGUCUUCUGACGCUGAGACGCGAAAGCUAGGGUAGCGAACGGGAUUAGAUACCCCGGUAGUCCUAGCCGUAAACGAUGAGCACUGGGUAGGGGGCUCUCCGAUGGGCUCCCUGCCGUAGGGAAACCGUGAAGUGCUCCGCCUGGGGAGUAUGGUCGCAAGGCUGAA